RNAcentral lists this long non-coding RNA (1108 nucleotides) under Bos taurus (domestic cattle). Its description in RNAcentral is "long non-coding RNA NONBTAT024117". Lineage: Eukaryota; Metazoa; Chordata; Mammalia; Artiodactyla; Bovidae. The record is from RNAcentral.
GUUGUGUGUCUCGGAUGUACCCAAACAGUCUGACCCUUGAUUUGAAAAGUAUAUGUUUGAGACAGAUGUUGGGAUCCAUGCAAGUGCCUAAAAUCUUUGUGUUUUAUUUGUAAUGUAAUGGCUCCAUGGUAACUAACAAGCUGUUAAUAACCUUUUUUAAGUUAAUUGCCACAAGUUCUCCAAAAUGAUUUUAACCAAAGAUGAUAUUAUAAUUCUAUAAAGGGUAAGUCUUUGUUAAGGACACAACUGCUAUCUUGAACUAUCUUAGUUACUUUGAAAGCAAGAAGUAGUUUUAGAUUUGGGGUAAACAUUUUAGCAAAUUGCUGUUUUAGAAGAGAAAUCUGAGCAUGUGGUUAAGAGCCUUCAUUAAAAGCCAGAGUUGUAAGCCCAGUCUUUAGGUCUCUGCCCUCAACCAGCCUAUUGGAAGCUGCAGGCAUUCCGAAUGGAACCAGAGGACAGAAUGUGGCGGUGACAGUUCACAGCCUUCACCACUCUUCUGGAAAGAUACCUCACAGCAUCAUCCUCAGGUGUAAAUCACUGCUGUGGUGCUGGACAAGAUAAUUUGCUUUUAUAUUUUCUGGAAAGAAAUGCUUUAUUCUAAUCCUAGAAACUUUUAAGUCUCAUCUUUUUAAUAUAUGAUGCAGUGUAAUCUAUUAAUCUUCAUAAAACAAAAUUCUUUGAAACUGCAAUUUAGAAAGAGCAUCGUUUCUUGUCAGACACAGGGAACUUGUGAAAUAAUUUCCAAGCUGUUAGAAAUGGUAAUGAAUAAAAAUGACAUUGAUGACUCCAUGACUUUGGUUUUACUUCUCAUAUGAAAGAAGUAACCCACCUAACAAAGUAGUUGUGAGAGCUGAAAGAAUUCAGAAAUAUGCUUCAUAAAUUCUAAAAUGUAAAAGAAAUGCUUUCAUUUUUGUACAUUUCCCUGACAAUAAAUAGUAGCUAUAAUGCUUGAAAUGGGCCUGACACCUUAUAUGCUGGGACUUGGGAAGAUAACGGAAACAUCUUAAGUAAAUACAUUUUGUUAAUAGAAGCAAGUAGCACAUUAAAGAAAGAUUUACAUACGUUUCUUUAAAAAAAACCCCUCUAUAUUGUGUCUUCUGAACAUGAG